Molecule: ribosomal RNA, 472 nt
Filed under: uncultured bacterium
Lineage: Bacteria
Description: partial 16S ribosomal RNA
Rfam family: Bacterial small subunit ribosomal RNA
Source: RNAcentral
GACGAACGCUGGCGGCGUGCUUAACACAUGCAAGUCGAACGCUGAAGCUUGGUGCUUGCACUGGUUGGAUGAGUGGCGAACGGGUGAGUAAUACGUGAGUAACCUGCCCUUGACUCUGGGAUAAGCCUGGGAAACUGGGUCUAAUACUGGAUACGACAUGCCACUGCAUGGUGGUGUGUGGAAAGGGUUUUACUGGUUUUGGAUGGGCUCACGGCCUAUCAGCUUGUUGGUGGGGUAAUGGCCUACCAAGGCGACGACGGGUAGCCGGCCUGAGAGGGUGACCGGCCACACUGGGACUGAGACACGGCCCAGACUCCUACGGGAGGCAGCAGUGGGGAAUAUUGCACAAUGGGCGGAAGCCUGAUGCAGCGACGCCGUGUGAGGGAUGACGGCCUUCGGGUUGUAAACCUCUUUCAGCACGGAAGAAGCGAGAGUGACGGUACGUGCAGAAGAAGCGCCGGCUAACUACGUG